RNAcentral lists this ribosomal RNA (407 nucleotides) under uncultured Paracoccaceae bacterium. Its description in RNAcentral is "bacterial SSU rRNA". It matches the Rfam family "Bacterial small subunit ribosomal RNA", at positions 952 to 1382 of the family's 1533-position model. The record is from RNAcentral. Lineage: Bacteria; Pseudomonadati; Pseudomonadota; Alphaproteobacteria; Rhodobacterales; Paracoccaceae.
CGAAGCAACGCGCAGAACCUUACCAACCCUUGACAUCCUUGGACCGCCGGAGAGAUCCGGCUUCUCGUAAGAGCCAAGUGACAGGUGCUGCAUGGCUGUCGUCAGCUCGUGUCGUGAGAUGUUCGGUUAAGUCCGGCAACGAGCGCAACCCACAUCCCUAGUUGCCAGCAGGUUAAGCUGGGCACUCUAUGGAAACUGCCCGUGAUAAGCGGGAGGAAGGUGUGGAUGACGUCAAGUCCUCAUGGCCCUUACGGGUUGGGCUACACACGUGCUACAAUGGCAGUGACAAUGGGUUAAUCCCAAAAAGCUGUCUCAGUUCGGAUUGGGGUCUGCAACUCGACCCCAUGAAGUCGGAAUCGCUAGUAAUCGCGUAACAGCAUGACGCGGUGAAUACGUUCCCGGGCCUU